GCUAUAGAGUCCUACAACCCAAUUUUAGAGUCAGUUUCUUUGGAUCAUUGCUAGCACCAACUAUCUUAAAAGGAGUGACUAGGAAACAGACUCUGAAACAGAGAUCUGCAUGAAGGAAUUUUGAGAAGUGCUCUUGAAAACACCUACAGAGGAUGAAAGGAAAGAAAAUUGAGCAGAGGAAGAAGCUUAACUGCAACACAACAACAACAAAGGUCCAGCCAACCCUAUGCGGGGCUCUGACUCCUAGGCUAGAGGGAAGGAGCUUCAGAAGACGGAUGCGCCCAGACACUCAGGCUGUCAUCCACAUGAAUCUACAGAGUGGAUCUGGGCACCCACAGAGAUUGUCCAAUUCACUACUUAUUAUUAUUUGAAUACCAGCAUGACAAAAC
This 389-nucleotide long non-coding RNA is filed under the name Mustela putorius furo (domestic ferret). RNAcentral describes it as "lncRNA (ENSMPUG00000029938.1)". The record is from RNAcentral. Lineage: Eukaryota; Metazoa; Chordata; Mammalia; Carnivora; Mustelidae.